CCUACGGGAGGCUGCAGUGGGGAAUAUUGCACAAUGGGGGAAACCCUGAUGCAGCGACGCCGCGUGAGUGAAGAAGUAUUUCGGUAUGUAAAGCUCUAUCAGCAGGGAAGAAAAUGACGGUACCUGACUAAGAAGCCCCGGCUAACUACGUGCCAGCAGCCGCGGUAAUACGUAGGGGGCAAGCGUUAUCCGGAUUUACUGGGUGUAAAGGGAGCGUAGACGGCAGAGCAAGUCUGAAGUGAAAGCCCGGGGCCCAACUGCGGGACUGCUUUGGAAACUGCCCGGCUAGAGUGCUGGAGAGGUAAGCGGAAUUCCUAGUGUAGCGGUGAAAUGCGUAGAUAUUAGGAGGAACACCAGUGGCGAAGGCGGCUUACUGGACAGUAACUGACGUUGAGGCUCGAAAGCGUGGGGAGCAAACAGGAUUAGAUACCCGAGUAGUC
This 440-nucleotide ribosomal RNA is filed under the name uncultured bacterium. Its description in RNAcentral is "partial 16S ribosomal RNA". It matches the Rfam family "Bacterial small subunit ribosomal RNA", at positions 338 to 795 of the family's 1533-position model. The record is from RNAcentral.